Long non-coding RNA from Xenopus laevis (African clawed frog), 976 nucleotides. RefSeq lists it as uncharacterized. Lineage: Eukaryota; Metazoa; Chordata; Amphibia; Anura; Pipidae. The record is from RefSeq and is a predicted model, not a curated record. The transcript has 3 exons.
CAGUCUUUGUCAGGACAUUAAUAAAUAAAAGAAAUGUAUAAUAAAUCCUUUACAUUCUCACUGUCCAACAGGGGGUGAAAGUCCCUAUAAAAUAAAAAGUGGCCAGACUAUAAACUAAUAUACCAUAAGAAAACAUCCCUCUCAUUCCCUGUCUCUCUCUGCCUCUCCCCAGAGCCUUCCCUAUCUGUUCCUCCUCCUCUCUGGACUACCGGCCAGCUGAAGAUUCCAGGGCAACUGUUCUAUACACUGCUGCCUAGCAACGCUGGAAUUCCCACAUUGUGUUCCAAGCCUCACUUUGGCGCUGGUUGGUUGAUAUUGGUUGAUAUCAGUAAGCCCCGCCCAUCGCCGAGGAGCAGGAGCUGCACGUGGAGCAGGUGAGGGGGAGGUGGCUGUAAAGUUGCAGAUGGGAAUAUUGGGGACAAGAGAAGAUAUUGGAGGACACAGAAGGGAUUUUCGGCUGCAGGAGAAGAUUCUUUUUCGGGGUCUCAGCCAGAGAAGAACAAGUGACAUUGGUAUAAAACAUCCCAACACUCUUAGUUCUCAGUUUGGAGCGGGACCUCUUGGAACUGCGUUAUAGAAUGAAAGAAAAUUGCUCCCUGCCAAUGUAUAACCUUGAUGACGCUCCUGACCCAGUUGCCAAGGAUCAAGUAGUCUGAGAGUCAGAUUUGCUAUUAAACUCCAUGGAUCGCGGUGACGCCAAACUCAAUGGGCAGUUGGAAGCCUCAUUCCCCCCGUGUUUCCGUCAUGGCUAAAGUUACUGAUCAACUCGCAGUUCAAGAGGCCCCUGACAGCUGUACCCCCAUUGGCUGCCUUGGGGAGAGCCUUUGGAUUAGGCAAUAACAUCCAAAACAACUAUAUCAUCUGACCUGUAGACUUAACAUCAGGACGGAAACAGCCUCUAGGUGGCGCUGGUGCUUGUGAUAAAUUCUGCAAGUUUUUGAGUCCAAAGAGUUUAUACAGGAAAGAACAUUCCUUC